Molecule: non-coding RNA, 72 nt
Organism: Phytophthora pseudosyringae
Lineage: Eukaryota; Oomycota; Peronosporomycetes; Peronosporales; Peronosporaceae
Source: the annotation of a GenBank genome assembly
GCCCACGGAGCUCUAAUGGUUAAGCGCCAGGCCUUCAGCCUGGUGGUUUGGGUUCAAUUCCCAACGUGGGCU